Molecule: ribosomal RNA, 433 nt
Filed under: uncultured bacterium
Lineage: Bacteria
Description: partial 16S ribosomal RNA
Rfam family: Bacterial small subunit ribosomal RNA
Source: RNAcentral
AACGAACGCUGGCGGCAUGCCUAACACAUGCAAGUCGAACGAGCCCUUCGGGGUUAGUGGCGCACGGGUGCGUAACGCGUGGGAAUCUGCCCUUGGGUUCGGAAUAACAGUGAGAAAUUACUGCUAAUACCGGAUGAUGUCUUCGGACCAAAGAUUUAUCGCCCAAGGAUGAGCCCGCGUAGGAUUAGCUAGUUGGUGGGGUAAUGGCCUACCAAGGCGACGAUCCUUAGCUGGUCUGAGAGGAUGAUCAGCCACACUGGGACUGAGACACGGCCCAGACUCCUACGGGAGGCAGCAGUGGGGAAUAUUGGACAAUGGGCGAAAGCCUGAUCCAGCACGGCCGCGUGAGUGAUGAAGGCCUUAGGGUUGUAAAGCUCUUUUACCCGGGAUGAUAAUGACAGUACCGGGAGAAUAAGCUCCGGCUAACUCCGUG